Molecule: non-coding RNA, 23 nt
Filed under: Arabidopsis thaliana (thale cress)
Lineage: Eukaryota; Viridiplantae; Streptophyta; Magnoliopsida; Brassicales; Brassicaceae
Source: RNAcentral
UACCAUGGGAUUAGGGUUCUUGA